UGAUCCAUCCUCAGUUCUCCCAGCGCAGCCAUUAAACUCAUUAAACUGUUUUAAAAGUCACCAUUGGCCUCAUGGUGAAAUUCCUGAGCAGUUUCCUUCCUCUGUCAACUGAGUUAGGAAGGACGCCUGUAUCUUUGUAGUGACUGGGUGUAUUAAUACACCAUACAAAAUGUUAAUAAAUUCCCCAUGCUCAAAGGGAUAUUCAAUGUUUGCUUUAAAAAAAUAUAUAUCUACCAAUAGGUGCCCUACUUUCUGAGGCUACUUUCUGAGGCCGUACUCCCUGGUCUUUGUGGUUGAAUCUGUGUUUGAAAUUCACUGCUUGACUGAGGGACCUUACAGAUAAUUAAUUGUAUGUGGGGUACAGAGAUGAGGUGGCCAUUCAAAAAUCAUGUUAAAACACUAUUAUUGCACAAAAAGUGAGUCCAAGCAACAUAUGUGACUUGUUUAGCAAAUGUUUUACUCCUGAACUUAUUUAGGCUUGCCAUAACAAUGGGAUCGAUACGUAUUGACUCAAGACAUUUCAGAUUUUUCAUUUUUAACACAUUUGUAAAAAAAUAUAUAUAUAUAAAAAAGGAAAUCCACUUUGACAUUAUUGUGUGUAGACCCGGUGACAAACAAUUUAUAUUUAAUACAUUUUCAAUUCAGGCUGUAACACAACAAAAUAUGGUAAAGGUCAAGUGGUGUGAAUACUUUGAAGGCAUACACAACCCCCUUCCCCGAGGAGACCUUUUACCAGUUGCCACUGUCACCUUGCAGCAAAUGCAUCAGUAAAAAGGUCUAGAUAUACAAGUCAGCUUUGAUUGAUUAGUGUAUAUGGGCCCAUAAGUAGACAAACACCAUAUGUAUUUUGAAAGUGAAGCUAACAUUUUUUUUACUUGUCUCUAUACUCCAGCAUUUUUGAUUUGAGAUCAAAUGUUUCAUGACUCGACAGUACAGAAUGUCACCUUAUAUUUGAGGGUAUUUUCGAUCAUCUGUUUUACCGUUUAUAAAAGAAAGCACAAUGUAUCUAUUCCUUCCAUUUGAAGUCAUAAGUAUUUGGACAAAUCCACUUAUAGUGUAUUAAAGUGGUUAAAAGUAUAGUAUUUGGUCCCAUAUUCCUAGCACGCAAUGACUACAUCAAGCUUGUUACUCUACAAACUCAUGGAAUGCAUUUGCUGUUUGUUUUGGGUUAUGUUUUGCCCAACAGGAACUGAAAUGGAGAAAGACGACUGGAGUAAUUAUAACAAACAAUUCAAUUCUAAAAGCCAUAACUAGAGCAAGGUAAAAAGGUAACUGCCAAAAUAAAGGAUGUAAAUGAGGGAUACAAAGUAUAUUGACAGCAGGUGGUUCCACACAGGUGCGGUUCCUGAAUUAAUGAAGCAAUUAAAUCAUCCCAUCAUGCUUAGGGUCAUGUAUAAAAAAUGCCUAGUUGCCCAGCAUUUUAGCUACCAUGCCUAGAAGAGAUCUUAGUGACUUUGAAAGAGGGGUCUCAAAUGGGCAUAGGGGGUUUAAAGGGUUUGUUUGCGUGUGUGUGUCACCAGAUCUCAACCCAACUGAACACUUACGGGAGAUUCUGGAGCGGUGCCUGAGACGGCGUUUUCCACCACAAUCAACAAAACAAUUAUGGAAUUUCGUGUGGAAGAAUGGCGUCGCAUCCCUCCAAUAGAGUUCUGGACAUUUAUAGAAUCUAUGGCAAGGUGCACUGAAGCUGCUCUGGCGGCCCAUCGCUUUAUAUUGGCGUUUCCUUUUAGCAGUUACCUGUAUUUUGUUUCAUUUGAAAACAGUAUAACUUUUUCCAAUCUCUAAAUAAGUAGAUUAAUAUUUAGAAGAGCUAAGACGUUUUGGAACACUAACGUAAUGAUUACGAAAAACCAUGAAUAAACAAUGAAUAAUGAUGAGUGAGAAAAGUACAGAGGUUACAACAAAACAUGCUAACCGCUCACCAUUACCAACAACAGAGGUUACAACAAAACAUGCUAACCGCUCACCAUUACCAACAACAGAGGUUACAACAAAACAUGCUAACCGCUCACCAUUACCAACAACAGAGGUUACAACAAAACAUGCUAACCGCUCACCAUUACCAACAACAGAGGUUACAACAAAACAUGCUAACCGCUCACCAUUACCAACAACAGAGGUUACAACAAAACAUGCUAACCGCUCACCAUUACCAACAACAGAGGUUACAACAAAACAUGCUAACCGCUCACCAUUACCAACAACAGAGGUUACAACAAAACAUGCUAACCGCUCACCAUUACCAACAACAGAGGUUACAACAAAACAUGCUAACCGCUCACCAUUACCAACAACAGAGGUUACAACAAAACAUGCUAACCGCUCACCAUUACCAACAACAGAGGUUACAACAAAACAUGCUAACCGCUCACCAUUACCAACAACAGAGGUUACAACAAAACAUGCUAACCGCUCACCAUUACCAACAACAGAGGUUACAACAAAACAUGCUAACCGCUCACCAUUACCAACAACAGAGGUUACAACAAAACAUGCUAACCGCUCACCAUUACCAACAACAGAGGUUACAACAAAACAUGCUAACCGCUCACCAUUACCAAACAACAGAGGUUACAACAAAACAUGCUAACCGCUCACCAUUACCAACAACAGAGGUUACAACAAAACAUGCUAACCGCUCACCAUUACCAACAACAGAGGUUACAACAAAACAUGCUAACCGCUCACCAUUACCAACAACAGGGGCGGGGUGGUCUGAUCCGUGUGUGUAACUUUCUCACUCAUCAUUAUUCACGAUUCAUUCAUUAUUAGCCAUUAUUAAUCAUGGUAGCAUCCACAAUAAUGUAGAAGUGUUCAGAAACAUAUUCUAUUCUUAAUUACAAUAAAAGUGACUCAAAUCACAGAACAUUAUUCACCCUUCAGUUCCUAUUAGGCAAAACAUAAUCAGAAACAACCAAAACGUACUGCAAAUGCAUCCAACACGUUUGUAAAGUCAGUCAUUGUGUGCAACGAUGUAGUCAAUGUCUAAGGAUAUCUGUAGUGUCUGUAGGGACCAAAUACUAAAACAGUUUACUACUUUAAUAUACAAUAAGAGAUUUUAAAAAUUUUAUUUUACCCACUUUUUUCACCCCAAAUUCAUAGUAUCCAAUUGUUUUUCAUAGUUACUAUCUUGUCUCAUCGCUUCAACUCCCGUAAUGUAGGGACUAGAUAUAUAAAGUACUUUCAUUUCUAAAAGGCUAAAAAGAUACAGUUUUGUAUGAAAAUACCCUCAAAUAAAAGGCAACAUUCUGUACUGUCGCCUCAUAUGACACAUUUGUUCAAAUACAUAUGGUGUCGAUCGAGUGUCUCUAUAUAGAGCUCACUACAGUCAUUCAAAUCUCUGCUAUUGUCUGCUACGUACCAGUUGUGUUCCCAACCAAAAUAGGG
Long non-coding RNA from Oncorhynchus keta (chum salmon), 3387 nucleotides. RefSeq lists it as uncharacterized. The record is from RefSeq and is a predicted model, not a curated record. The transcript is spliced from 4 exons. Lineage: Eukaryota; Metazoa; Chordata; Actinopteri; Salmoniformes; Salmonidae.